GACGAACGCUGGCGGCGUGCUUAACACAUGCAAGUCGAACGGAAAGGCCCUGCUUUUGUGGUGUUCUCGAGUGGCGAACGGGUGUGUAACACGUGAGUACCCUGCCCUUGACUUUGGUAUAACUUCAGGAAACUGGGGCUAAUACCGGAUAGGAGCUCCUGCUGCAUGGUGGGGGUUGGAAAUUUUCGGCGGUUGGGGAUUGACUCGCGGCUUAUCAGCUUGUUGGUUGGGUAGUGGCUUACCCAGGCUUUGACGGGUCGCCGGCCUGAGGGGUUGACCGGCAAGAUUGGUACUGGGAUACGGCCAGGAAUCGUACGGGGGGCAGAAGUGGGAAAUAUUGAAAAAUGGGCGGAAGCCGGAUGAAGCAGCGCGGCGGGCGGGAGGACGGCCUUCGGGUGUGAAACCGUUUUCGCCGGUAACGAAGUUUGAGUGACGGUACUGGGUGAAGAAGCACCGGCUAACUACGUG
Molecule: ribosomal RNA, 468 nt
Filed under: uncultured bacterium
Lineage: Bacteria
Description: partial 16S ribosomal RNA
Rfam family: Bacterial small subunit ribosomal RNA
Source: RNAcentral